GGCCAACCAAAUUAGAUAAGAGAAAAUGAAAACUAAAAAGAGCAGCAGAGAUUAUAUUGUUUACUAGUAUUAAAGCAAAGUUGAACUCAAAAUGUGCUUAAAAAAAUUAAUAAAUUCAUCACCUUUUUUCCCCCCAUUUAGACUUUUAAUCCACAAUAUUUCAGUAAGCAUUAUGUAUGAGCUCAGUUUAUUGAGCCACAAAAUAAGCUCCACAGCUUUGGGCCUGUCAUGUCCAAUAUGCAAAUUCUUUGAGAAUGAUAUGGCACCUGGGGACCUGCAUGCUAAAACUGCUUCACUGAUGUGAAUAAUGUUAUGGUAUAUUUUCACAGGUUUGCCUACUGUCACAACAUACUGAGAAUCUAACAAUGCAAAACGAGACUCGGAUACAAAAACCCAGUUAGAACCUUCACUAGCUAGUUAGCUAGUGAGAAAGCCCAAUUUGUUUGUUUGUUUGUUUAUUUAUUUAUUUAUUUUUGUCCAUUGUUAAAAGCGCUAUACAAAUAAAAUUGAAUUGAGCUUGUCUAGGAUCCCUCUAGGUGAAAGACUGCGCAGUGUGUGAGCCUUGUCUGCGAUCGCUACAUCCGAAAAACAACAAAUCACAAGCGAUAAAAGUCAUUUACAAUGAGCAAUACGGCAAUUCUGAGGUUUUGAAAGUCGUGGAGUAUAUAAAUGUGUUUUCUGUGCUUCUUGCCUUUGCUUUCCAAAGUUCAUGAUUCCACAUCUCUUACUUUCCACAAACACACUGGAGACAGGAAAAUGCGCAACAAACAGAUGGUAAUUUCUAAGCAAUAGAGUUUGGUUUCAGGGACAAUAUGGUGCCAUAAGACAGUUCUCCAAAUAGAGAGCAAUUUCCAAUAAAGUGCAUUUUACACAAAAACAUGGCCUUGCUAUUUAUGAUCGUGCCAAGAACCGGAGGGCUUGUGUUUAACAGCCAUAUGCACGCACUGCCUUGGGUACAGUGCCAAUGUGUAGGUCUGAGGAAGGCAUUCCCGGCAGUCUCUAAUGGGCUAAACCAUUAGAUUUGGCAAAUGGGCGAACCCAUGGGUUUGGCAGAUUGAAAACCUGGCAACAUGUGAGGACACUGAAUUUCACUAUGGCAGAAAACAAAUGCAUCUCAAUAAACCUGGUGAUAAAUGCAUCCAAAUUGAUUUAGAUCUUGAGUAUGGUGCAUAAGGAUGCUCAAUGUUACACAUUACUAGAUCAAGUGUUCUUGACUGCGAUCACCAUAAAUUCGCUAGAAAUAAAGAACAGAAAUAAAACUAACCUAAAACACAAAACCAUUCAUGUCAAGGGAAUAAUAUGCCAAUAAAUAAAUACAUUUUCCAUCAACAUUAGAAAAACCAUCAGUACCAUGCUAAAGAGGUAUGGUAAAGAGGCACUACCAUGGAAACACUUCAACCUAUGAAUAAUUCAAACCUGUUGCCUACAACCGUUGCUUACUUUAUUUAAUUUUUCCCUUCAACCUGACACUGGACCGGCAAUUACUUUGGACCGACACACUGUAUUCAUUGACACUCUAUUCGUUGGUGAAAAAUGUAAUCAUCCCUGCCACUGAGAGAGAACCGUAUUCUCCUUUGACAUUGUAAAAAAAAUAAAAUAAAAUAUGAUCAAAGCAUGACUUCACAUCAAAGUCUAGCUAGACGUUCAAACUGUCAUUAUACGAACCGGCAUCAGAGCAAGCAUGUGCAAGAGCGAUGUGAGGAACCGACACAAAAUACCAAAGAAAAUCUUGAAAAACUUAAUGAAGGCAAACGCGUCAAUUAAAACAAGAAAUGAGAUGGCACGGUCAAUGACAAGAAAGCAUCACCUAGCUUUCUAGGUCAGUAUGUACCUAAAAUCAAUUUAGAAAAACUUCCAUAGCCUUAUAAUGUAUACUUUAUAGUAUACAUAAUAAAGUAAGUAAGUAAGUAAGUAAGAACGAAGGUAAAAUAUAUAUCAGACUGUUAUUUGUACUUUACUGCUAAUUGCAUAUCCACAUUUACUGUAAUACUGUUACUUGCUAUUUGCAUAUUUACGUUUAGUGUAAUACACUGUAUGUACCUACUGUAUGUAUCAUAUUGCAUGCAUCAUGCUGUUUACCACUGUACUGGUUAUCUCAACCUAUUGCACCUCAAUUCCCAUUUAUUGCAUUUAAUUUAAUUGCCAUUUGCAUCAUUUGAAUUACCUUUACCUGUACACUGUUACUUAUCGCACUAGAACAUUUAUGUUCAUCAAACUUUUUUUACUGUUUGCACAACUGGGUGGAUGCUAACUGCAUUUCAUUGCCUCUGUACUUGUACUCUGACAAUGACAAUAAACUUGAACCUAACCAAACCUAACUUAAGUAAGUAAGGUAUGUAAGUAAACAAGUGAGUAAGAAAGUAGGAAAUAAGUAAGUAGGUAAGCAAGUAAGUAAGUAGGAAAUUAAGUGGGUAAGUAAGUAGGAAAUUAAGUCGGUAAGAAAGUAGGAAAUUAAGUACGAAAGUAGGAAAUUAAGUCAGUAAGAAAGUAGGAAAUUAAGUAAAUAAGAAAGUAGGAAAUUAAGUAGGAAAUUAAGUAGGUAAGAAAGUAGGAAAUUAAGUAGGUAAAAAGAUAGGAAAUUAAGUAGAUAAGUAAUAAGGUAAGAAAAUUAAGUAAGUAGGUAAGAAAGUAAGGUAAGUAAAGAAGGUAACUAAGUUAGGUAAGUAUAUAAGGUAAGUACAUAAGCAAAUAAAUAUGUAAGAAUGUACUUAAGUAUCAAAAACUACUUCCAUAGCCUUAAAGUGUAUGCACUAAUAAUCUAAAACUAUACUUCGCAUGUACUACAGAAAUUUGACAGCACUAACAUUAAUUUCAUUAAUUUUAAGAGAAAAAAGGUUGACAGUUUGUAGCUUAAGUGAUAACAAAAACUAACUUGACAAAUGGAUAAAAAGUACGUCAUUCUUUAAUAAAUAAAUUAAAAAGACCAAAAAAAAUUAAAAAAAAUCAGGUUGUCUGGUUACCAAGAAACCGCAAACCUCAAGAACUUUUCCCAUGUUGGAAAACAUACUGACCGUUACAAAGCCCUGACACUGGAGACUCCUUCCAAAACAUGUCCUUAAAGAAAGCUUCACUAUACCAACAAUUACCUACAUUAAAAUGCCCAUAAGUAAGCUAUUACUACAGGGGGGGAAAAAAAAGGAAAAAAAAAAACACAAAAACGUAUUGCAACAUGUGCAUUAAUACAAACAAACCUGUGUCUUGAUGUUGCAGAUAAUUCAUCAACACCUUCUUACCAAUCAGAAUUAAGCUUUCAACGCCACUGUAUUAUAAAUUCAUAUAACACUAAGUAGUCACCCUUGUUUACUAAGCCUUAUGCUUCACUCACGCUUUCCAGUUUUAGUGCUGAAAAAAGGUUAAAUAUCAUUUUGGCGGCUCUUGUAAGCAUCAGGUGCCAAAUGUGUGAAAGUGUGGGAAGAAUAAGAAAAACAACAGUGGGGGAGUAGGCGCAGAAAAAUGAGUACGCAUAGCCUUAAGCUGUAGAUCAGGCUUGCUCCCUCUAGCUGAAAAAGGGGUUUGGGGGGGGUCUAAAAUAUAGAUAUACUGCUGGCAGCCCAUGUGGAUUCUAUAGGAGAUGAAGGAUAAAACAAGACAAAUGAAGGAAAAGGACAGAUGGCAGUAGCUGUCAGUAACAGCAUUCUGGGCCAAUGGAAUGAAACAGUUUGAUCUCUCUGUGGAAGCUUGGAAAAAUGCCAUAAUAACGAAAAGAAGGAGGGAAAGUUAGACACUAAUGACUCAAAGAGAAAUGUAGGAAAAUGUUUGCUGUGGGCAGACAGAAGGAUGAAAGAGGAAAUGCAAAAGAGGCACACUGACAACCGAAAUACGUUACAUUUGUGACAACUGCUCUGUUUGUGGGCUCAGUGCUAAUGGCAGAAAUCCAAUGAAGUCCUGCUCCUUCAGCAAGGCCCUUAAACGUUAAAUACGCCCAUGCACUGGAAGUUUAACGUAGUGACAGACUGCUAGAGUCUGGGCCAAACUGAAAUUGCUCUAUAGCACACUAUGGUGCACCACCAGACUCCAAACCCGGCCCAUUAUAUUUCUGCAAAGUUUGCAUUGAAAUAAAGCCAAAUUAUCAAUGAGCAUAGAGUCAACUUCCAUAUUACAGUAUACUCAAAUGAUGCCAUAUGAUAAAUAUGGCCAAAAGUAUGUGGACACAACCCCCCCCCCC
Molecule: long non-coding RNA, 4165 nt
Organism: Ictalurus punctatus (channel catfish)
Lineage: Eukaryota; Metazoa; Chordata; Actinopteri; Siluriformes; Ictaluridae
Source: Ensembl